AGUGAACGCUGGCGGUAGGCCUAACACAUGCAAGUCGAACGGCAGCACAGUAAGAGCUUGCUCUUACGGGUGGCGAGUGGCGGACGGGUGAGGAAUACAUCGGAAUCUACUUUUUCGUGGGGGAUAACGUAGGGAAACUUACGCUAAUACCGCAUACGACCUACGGGUGAAAGCAGGGGAUCUUCGGACCUUGCGCGAUUGAAUGAGCCGAUGUCGGAUUAGCUAGUUGGCGGGGUAAAGGCCCACCAAGGCGACGAUCCGUAGCUGGUCUGAGAGGAUGAUCGCCCACACUGGAACUGGGACACGUUCCCGUCUCCUACGGGCGGCAGCAGUGGCGGAUGUUUGACACUGGUCGCAAUCCUGAUCCAGCCAUACCGAGUGGGUGAGGCAGGCCUUCGGGUUGUAAAGCCCUUUUGUUGGGAAAGAAAAGCAGUAGGUUAAUACCCCGCUGUUCUGACGGUACCCAAUGAAUAAGCACCGGCUAACUUCGUG
This 492-nucleotide ribosomal RNA is filed under the name uncultured bacterium. RNAcentral's name for it is "partial 16S ribosomal RNA". It matches the Rfam family "Bacterial small subunit ribosomal RNA", at positions 29 to 507 of the family's 1533-position model. The record is from RNAcentral.